This 423-nucleotide ribosomal RNA is filed under the name Pichia sp. KCY-5. RNAcentral's name for it is "eukaryotic LSU rRNA". The stretch from base 99 to 251 matches the Rfam family "5.8S ribosomal RNA". Lineage: Eukaryota; Fungi; Ascomycota; Pichiomycetes; Pichiales; Pichiaceae. The record is from RNAcentral.
AAGGAUCAUUACUGUGAAUAUAACUUCCACACAUGCGUGAGCGCACAAAACACAUAAACCGUGAGUAAUUUUAGUCGAAAACAAAACAAAAAAUAGAAAACUUUCAACAACGGAUCUCUUGGUUCUCGCAUCGAUGAAGAGCGCAGCGAAAUGCGAUACCUAGUGUGAAUUGCAGCCAUCGUGAAUCAUCGAGUUCUUGAACGCACAUUGCGCCCGUCGGUAUUCCGGCGGGCAUGCCUGUCUGAGCGUCGUUUCCUUCUUGGAACUUUUGUUAAAGAAAGAUCCAGAGCUGGCCGUGCCACUGGCCCGGCCGAAAAGAAACGUUGCGGACGAAGCGAACUACAUCGGGACGCUUUGGCCGCCGAGCGAAAAUAUAUCAUUGAGCUCGACCUCAGAUCAGGUAGGAGUACCCGCUGAACUUAA